Molecule: ribosomal RNA, 405 nt
Filed under: uncultured bacterium
Lineage: Bacteria
Description: bacterial SSU rRNA
Rfam family: Bacterial small subunit ribosomal RNA
Source: RNAcentral
UGGGGAAUAUUGCGCAAUGGGGGAAACCCUGACGCAGCAACGCCGCGUGAAGGAUGAAGGCUUUCGGGUCGUAAACUUUUGUCUUCUGGGAAGAGCAAGGACGGUACCAGAGGAGGAAGCCACGGCUAACUACGUGCCAGCAGCCGCGGUAAUACGUAGGUGGCAAGCGUUGUCCGGAUUUACUGGGUGUAAAGGGCGUGUAGGCGGGAAGAUAAGUCAGAUGUGAAAUACCGGGGCUCAACUCCGGGGCUGCAUUUGAAACUAUUUUUCUUGAGUGCAGGAGAGGGAAGCGGAAUUCCUAGUGUAGCGGUGAAAUGCGUAGAUAUUAGGAGGAACACCAGUGGCGAAGGCGGCUUCCUGGACUGUAACUGACGCUGAGGCGCGAAAGCGUGGGGAGCGAACAGG